CAGCCGCCACGGUAAUACGUAGGGUGCAAGCGUUAAUCGGAAUUACUGGGCGUAAAGCGUGCGCAGGCGGUUAUAUAAGUCAGAUGUGAAAUCCCCGGGCUCAACCUGGGAACUGCAUUUGAGACUGUAUGGCUAGAGUGUGUCAGAGGGGGGUAGAACUCCACGUGUAGCAGUGAAAUGCGUAGAUAUGUGGAGGAAUACCGAUGGCGAAGGCAGCCCCCUGGGAUAGCACUGACGCUCAUGCACGAAAGCGUGGGGAGCAAACAGGAUUAGAUACCCCCGUAGUCCCUGUCUCUUAUAC
Molecule: ribosomal RNA, 301 nt
Filed under: uncultured bacterium
Lineage: Bacteria
Description: partial 16S ribosomal RNA
Rfam family: Bacterial small subunit ribosomal RNA
Source: RNAcentral